This 253-nucleotide ribosomal RNA is filed under the name uncultured bacterium. Its description in RNAcentral is "partial 16S ribosomal RNA". It matches the Rfam family "Bacterial small subunit ribosomal RNA", at positions 524 to 776 of the family's 1533-position model. The record is from RNAcentral.
GACGAGCCACACAAACGUUAUUCGGAAUUACUGGGCUUACAGGGUGCGUAGGCUGUGCAGCAAGUGGGGUGUGAAAUCCUACGGCUUAACCGUAGAACUGCGCUCCAAACUGCUGUGCUCGAGGGAGAUAGAGGUAAGCGGAACUUACGGUGGAGCGGUGAAAUGCGUUGAUAUCGUAAGGAACACCGGUGGCGAAAGCGGCUUACUGGAUCUCUUCUGACGCUGAGGCACGAAAGCUAGGGUAGCGAACGGG